This 749-nucleotide ribosomal RNA is filed under the name Escherichia coli. RNAcentral describes it as "partial 23S ribosomal RNA". It matches the Rfam family "Bacterial large subunit ribosomal RNA", at positions 2050 to 2798 of the family's 2925-position model. The record is from RNAcentral. Lineage: Bacteria; Pseudomonadati; Pseudomonadota; Gammaproteobacteria; Enterobacterales; Enterobacteriaceae.
GCUGUGAAGAUGCAGUGUACCCGCGGCAAGACGGAAAGACCCCGUGAACCUUUACUAUAGCUUGACACUGAACAUUGAGCCUUGAUGUGUAGGAUAGGUGGGAGGCUUAGAAGUGUGGACGCCAGUCUGCAUGGAGCCGACCUUGAAAUACCACCCUUUAAUGUUUGAUGUUCUAACGUUGACCCGUAAUCCGGGUUGCGGACAGUGUCUGGUGGGUAGUUUGACUGGGGCGGUCUCCUCCUAAAGAGUAACGGAGGAGCACGAAGGUUGGCUAAUCCUGGUCGGACAUCAGGAGGUUAGUGCAAUGGCAUAAGCCAGCUUGACUGCGAGCGUGACGGCGCGAGCAGGUGCGAAAGCAGGUCAUAGUGAUCCGGUGGUUCUGAAUGGAAGGGCCAUCGCUCAACGGAUAAAAGGUACUCCGGGGAUAACAGGCUGAUACCGCCCAAGAGUUCAUAUCGACGGCGGUGUUUGGCACCUCGAUGUCGGCUCAUCACAUCCUGGGGCUGAAGUAGGUCCCAAGGGUAUGGCUGUUCGCCAUUUAAAGUGGUACGCGAGCUGGGUUUAGAACGUCGUGAGACAGUUCGGUCCCUAUCUGCCGUGGGCGCUGGAGAACUGAGGGGGGCUGCUCCUAGUACGAGAGGACCGGAGUGGACGCAUCACUGGUGUUCGGGUUGUCAUGCCAAUGGCACUGCCCGGUAGCUAAAUGCGGAAGAGAUAAGUGCUGAAAGCAUCUAAGCACGAAACUUGCC